UAGGAAAUUUCCCCAUGAAAUACUAGUUUU
Molecule: non-coding RNA, 30 nt
Filed under: Rattus norvegicus (Norway rat)
Lineage: Eukaryota; Metazoa; Chordata; Mammalia; Rodentia; Muridae
Source: RNAcentral